This 457-nucleotide ribosomal RNA is filed under the name Clostridioides difficile. RNAcentral's name for it is "bacterial SSU rRNA". It matches the Rfam family "Bacterial small subunit ribosomal RNA", at positions 1 to 483 of the family's 1533-position model. The record is from RNAcentral. Lineage: Bacteria; Bacillati; Bacillota; Clostridia; Peptostreptococcales; Peptostreptococcaceae.
UUUUAUUUGAGAGUUUGAUCCUGGCUCAGGAUGAACGCUGGCGGCGUGCCUAACACAUGCAAGUUGAGCGAUUUACUUCGGUAAAGAGCGGCGGACGGGUGAGUAACGCGUGGGUAACCUACCCUGUACACACGGAUAACAUACCGAAAGGUAUGCUAAUACGGGAUAAUAUAUUUGAGAGGCAUCUCUUGAAUAUCAAAGGUGAGCCAGUACAGGAUGGACCCGCGUCUGAUUAGCUAGUUGGUAAGGUAACGGCUUACCAAGGCGACGAUCAGUAGCCGACCUGAGAGGGUGAUCGGCCACAUUGGAACUGAGACACGGUCCAAACUCCUACGGGAGGCAGCAGUGGGGAAUAUUGCACAAUGGGCGAAAGCCUGAUGCAGCAACGCCGCGUGAGUGAUGAAGGCCUUCGGGUCGUAAAACUCUGUCCUCAAGGAAGAUAAUGACGGUACUUGAG